GACGAACGCUGGCGGCGUGCUUAACACAUGCAAGUCGAGCGGUAAGGCCCCUUCGGGGGUACACGAGCGGCGAACGGGUGAGUAACACGUGGGUGACCUGCCCUCAGCUCUGGGAUAAGCCUGGUAAACUGGGUCUAAUACCGGCUAUGACCUUUCCUCGCAUGGGGUUUGGUGGAAAGUUUUUUCGGCUGGGGAUGGGCCCGCGGCCUGUCUGCUGGUUGGUGGGGUGAUGGCCUACUAAGGGGGGGACGGGUGGCCGGCCUGGGAGGGCGACCGGCCACAGGGGGAGUGAGAGACGGGCCAGACUCCUGCGGGAGGAAGCAGGGGGGAAGAUGGCGCAAUGGGCGGAAGAUUGACGAAGCGACGGCGCGUGGGGGAGGACGGCCUGCGGGUUGUAAACCUCGUUCGACACGGACGAAGUUGGACGGUAGGGGUAGAAGAAGCACCGGCUAACUACGUG
Molecule: ribosomal RNA, 460 nt
Filed under: uncultured bacterium
Lineage: Bacteria
Description: partial 16S ribosomal RNA
Rfam family: Bacterial small subunit ribosomal RNA
Source: RNAcentral